CGGGCGAUGGAUUAGGCUGCUUUGCUAAUACAGAUGUCACUAAUUUGUCACGGAUGUUUUUAGGUCUUCUGAAGGCCAUGACUGGUGGUGAUGAAAAUACUUUUUUUAGAUUUACAUCAUUUUCUAUAAUUUUCCAAUGCUUCUGAACAAUGGAUGACACAUUUUUAAAAUCAGGAUGGUAAGUGAGUACAAGGGGUGUUCUGUUAGCUGCUUUAUUCUUAUCUUUGUACUCAAGAAGUUCUUG
RNAcentral lists this long non-coding RNA (244 nucleotides) under Mytilus galloprovincialis (Mediterranean mussel). Lineage: Eukaryota; Metazoa; Mollusca; Bivalvia; Mytilida; Mytilidae. The record is from RNAcentral.